AUUGAACGCUGGCGGCAUGCCUUACACAUGCAAAUCGAACGGUAACGGGCCUUCGGGUGCCGACGAGUGGCGAACGGGUGAGUAAUACAUCGGAACGUGCCCGAUCGUGGGGGAUAACGAGGCGAAAGCUUUGCUAAUACCGCAUACGAUCUACGGAUGAAAGCAGGGGACCGCAAGGCCUUGCGCGGACGGAGCGGCCGAUGGCAGAUUAGGUAGUUGGUGGGAUAAAAGCUUACCAAGCCGACGAUCUGUAGCUGGUCUGAGAGGAUGAUCAGCCACACUGGGACUGAGACACGGCCCAGACUCCUACGGGAGGCAGCAGUGGGGAAUUUUGGACAAUGGGCGCAAGCCUGAUCCAGCCAUGCCGCGUGCAGGAUGAAGGCCUUCGGGUUGUAAACUGAUUUUGUACGGAACGAAAAGCCUUCUUUUAAUACAGGAGGGUCAUGACGGUACCGGAAGAAUAAGCACCGGCUAACUACGUG
Molecule: ribosomal RNA, 482 nt
Filed under: uncultured bacterium
Lineage: Bacteria
Description: partial 16S ribosomal RNA
Rfam family: Bacterial small subunit ribosomal RNA
Source: RNAcentral